CACGGGGGGCCUACGGGAGGCAGCAGUGGGGAAUCUUGGACAAUGGGCGCAAGCCUGAUCCAGCCAUGCCGCGUGAGUGAUGAAGGCCUUAGGGUCGUAAAGCUCUUUCGCCAGAGAUGAUAAUGACAGUAUCUGGUAAAGAAACCCCGGCUAACUCCGUGCCAGCAGCCGCGGUAAUACGGAGGGGGUUAGCGUUGUUCGGAAUUACUGGGCGUAAAGCGCGCGUAGGCGGGCUAGUAAGUUAGAGGUGAAAUCCCGGGGCUCAACCCCGGAACUGCCUUUAAUACUGCUAGUCUUGAGUUCGAGAGAGGUGAGUGGAAUUCCGAGUGUAGAGGUGAAAUUCGUAGAUAUUCGGAGGAACACCAGUGGCGAAGGCGGCUCACUGGCUCGAUACUGACGCUGAGGUGCGAAAGUGUGGGGAGCAAACAGGAUUAGAUACCCUGGUAGUCCACACCGUAAACGAUGAAUGCCAGUCGUCGGGUAGCAUG
RNAcentral lists this ribosomal RNA (488 nucleotides) under uncultured Thalassovita sp. RNAcentral's name for it is "bacterial SSU rRNA". It matches the Rfam family "Bacterial small subunit ribosomal RNA", at positions 329 to 834 of the family's 1533-position model. The record is from RNAcentral. Lineage: Bacteria; Pseudomonadati; Pseudomonadota; Alphaproteobacteria; Rhodobacterales; Roseobacteraceae.